This is a non-coding RNA of Oryzias latipes (Japanese medaka), 1678 nucleotides long. The record is from RefSeq and is a predicted model, not a curated record. NCBI's taxonomy places the organism in Eukaryota, Metazoa, Chordata, Actinopteri, Beloniformes, Adrianichthyidae.
GACGAACCGGCUCUGUAACGAACCGAACCGCAGCUCGGCGUCAGGACGUCCGGUCGCUUUCAUGUUCAGAGGCACCGGCGCCGGUACAAAUGACUUAAGGUCACUCAGAUGGAUCUGCUUCUAAACUCCUAUUGGAUAAACACGCAGGAGAGUCGGUCCAUCCCAGCAGAAACAUCAAGUCUUCUGGGAUCUUCUCUGUUUGUCGUCUUCAUCUGACAUUUCCAGGUCAUUUGUGCUCAGAUGAGCUAAAUUUAGCAUCAAAGCUGCACUUUCUGCAAAUGUUUUCAUGCCUUCAUCUGAUCUAUUCUCAGGAUCACCGACGGCAGCGCCGUUACCUUUCAGCGGCGCCCAGGUCCCGACUCCUCAGCUGCUCCAUCCUCCGUUCAUCCUCACGAACACUCAGGCUGAUGAAUUCAUGAAAGAAUAAAGAGGGACCCACGCUCCUCACUUCUCUCUGGCAGACGCCUUCUUAAGCUCCUCCCCCAUAAACCACGUUCACCUCGUAGUUUCCGCCCUCCUUCUCUUUGUUUCCUCUCUUUUCUGUCUUUUUGGAGCUUGUGAUGGACACCAAACCUUCACAUGAACAGAGUUGUGUGCAGGAAGAUACAAGGAUCUGCUGAGGGUUAAAAACGGAUCAGACCUGCAGCUGAAGACUGUCAGCAGGGCUCUUAGCUGACAUUUGCAGGUGAAGCUCCAGGGGCCUCCUGACUCUUUUGGCCCCGGGGCCACACUCGUUUCAGCAGGAGAACUCUAAAGUUCAGUGCGUUGACACUAAUAACUAAAGCUAAGCGCUGCUGUAAAAGACAUCAGAUGCAUUUUAAGGGUCAGAACUAAAACUGGAAUGAACCUUUUUGAGAAUUUGGGUUAAAAAAACGAGUCAAUAACAAAAAAAGCCAGCUUGGAGACUGGUCAGAAAUUGUUGGGAUUUAAACCAUCAAAAUGUUCUUCUUGAGAGUGGAUCUCUGUAUGGAGGACUUCAGGCUGCAGAGAGCAGGACCCCAGCCUCACAGAAAGCACAAAUAGACUUAAAACACAGGAGGAGGUUUGGUUUUGCUGUUUCCACUUCCUAAAGGACUCAGGUCCUGGAGUCUAGUUUGCUCUCAAUCAUCUCUGAGUUAAAUGACAGGGACCUGGCAGCAGACAAGAUGGCGCCUGAAGCCAUCGGCCAGAAGCAGAAAUUAUACAAUUUACCCUAAUCCUAACCCAAAAGAGUUCAGAAUUAAGGUACAAACUUGUAUUGAAAGCUUAAAACAGGAAAAACCGUAACUUAAGGUCAACAGUUAAAAUAGUUAAUUUGAUCAAUAUGUGGGGACUUUGAUGACUGCAACCAGGUCCUCUCGUGUUAAACUUCUAAAUUCUAUUGUGAUCUUGCUCUUCUGCCUUAACCUGCUUCUAUUUAGACCUUCGUUUUUUGUGGCUAAUCCUGGAACUGAUCCACGAUCUGAGCCACAGUCUGAUCUACAGUCAGAUCCAUUGAAUGGUUCGAUGUAUGGUUUUAUCCAUGGUCCGAUCCAAUCUCCACCUUUAACAGAUGGGUGUCUGGCUCCUCUUGUGGAUGUAAAGUGACGGACUGCGAGGUUUGGUCAGAGGAGCUUUAAUAAACUGUUCUAAAACAAAUUCGUCAAUUUUGUAAAACACAAAUGAAACGUUCUGCUCUGCUCAGGUAAAAAAAAAAAAA